ACCACGACCAACAACAACAACAACAACAACAUCAACGUCAGGAGAAAGACGGCGAGCGGAGAGCGAGGUGAAGCUACGUCCCUCGACUAUGUGUGCGUGAUGCUAACAGCAGCGCGGCGAAUGCGAAUGGCGCUAUUGGCUGAUUCGAUAACGGAGAGAAGACGCCGUCGCCGAAGCUUGUGGAGCAUCAGCUGUAAGAUGCCUGGGUGAGCUCAUGACGCUAACGUGCUCAGCCAGACACGCCUGUUAGCAGAAGAACCGAGAGAAAUCGCUCACUUCCUGUUGGGAAGCUGUGGAUCCCAACUGGUCAGUGGAAGCGGCCACACUGGC
Long non-coding RNA from Gasterosteus aculeatus aculeatus (three-spined stickleback), 330 nucleotides. Lineage: Eukaryota; Metazoa; Chordata; Actinopteri; Perciformes; Gasterosteidae. The record is from Ensembl.